This 252-nucleotide ribosomal RNA is filed under the name uncultured bacterium. RNAcentral describes it as "partial 16S ribosomal RNA". It matches the Rfam family "Bacterial small subunit ribosomal RNA", at positions 28 to 279 of the family's 1533-position model. The record is from RNAcentral.
GACGAACGCUGGCGGCGUGCUUAACACAUGCAAGUCGAGCGGUAAGGCCCUUUCGGGGGUACACGAGCGGCGAACGGGUGAGUAACACGUGGGUGACCUGCCCUCAGCUCUGGGAUAAGCCUGGGAAACCGGGUCUAAUACCGGAUAUGACUCCAUGACGCAUGUUGGUGGGGUGGAAAGCCUUGUGCGGCUGAGGAUGGGCCCGCCGGCCUAUCAGCUUGUUGGUGGGGUGAUGGCCUACCAAGGCGACGA